Molecule: long non-coding RNA, 373 nt
Organism: Papilio xuthus (Asian swallowtail)
Lineage: Eukaryota; Metazoa; Arthropoda; Insecta; Lepidoptera; Papilionidae
Exons: 3
Source: RefSeq, a predicted model, not a curated record
GCUCGCGCAGCUGGACGCGCUCGAGCGGCGCCUGUCGCACGCGCCCGCACUCCCGCCCUCCGCGAACAGGGAGGCGGGGCCGGCGGCGGAGCGGCUGCAGCGGGUGCGCGAGCUGCUGCUGACCACCAGCGCCAACCCCUCCGACCACACCAGUCUCUCCAUCAGGCUCAGCCUCGUCAAGGCUCGCGAGGCGGAGCUGGGGGAGCUGGCCGAGCUGGCGGCGGAGCGGGGCGCCGCGCCGCACCUCGCCGCGGACCUCGCUCAGGUAACUGACACUCCUGUACGACAUUUUCUUUUAUUUAUUAGCAAACCGAACUUUCAAUCACCCGAAGGCGGAUUUGAAGAUUCACAGUAUUGUUAUAUUUUCAUGAAU